RNAcentral lists this ribosomal RNA (488 nucleotides) under uncultured bacterium. RNAcentral describes it as "partial 16S ribosomal RNA". It matches the Rfam family "Bacterial small subunit ribosomal RNA", at positions 28 to 507 of the family's 1533-position model. The record is from RNAcentral.
GACGAACGCUGGCGGCGUGCUUAACACAUGCAAGUCGAACGGAAAGGCCCUGCUUUUGUGGGGUGCUCGAGUGGCGAACGGGUGAGUAACACGUGAGUAACCUGCCCUUGACUUUGGGAUAACUUCAGGAAACUGGGGCUAAUACCGGAUAGGAGCUCCUGCUGCAUGGUGGGGGUUGGAAAGUUUCGGCGGUUGGGGAUGGACUCGCGGCUUCUCAGCUAGUUGGUGGGGUAGUGGCUUACCAAGGCUUGGAAGGGUAGCCGGCCUGAGAGGGUGACCGGCCACAGUGGAAGUGAGAAACGGUCCAGACUCCUACGGGAGGGAGCAGGAGGGAAUGGUCCGCAAGGGGCGAAAGGCUGACGGAGCAAAGCCGCGUGAGUGAGGAAGGUCGUCGGAUCGUAAAACUCUGUUAUGAGGGAAGAACAAAUGUGGAAGGAAAUAUGCACGUCGUGACGGUAAGUAAUAAGAAAGCCAAGGCUAACUACGUG